GACGAACGCUGGCGGCGUGCCUAAUACAUGCAAGUCGAGCGAAGCGGCGGAUGGGUGAGUAACGCGUGGGUAACCUGCCCUUAAGUCUGGGAUACCAUUUGGAAACAGAUGCUAAUACCGGAUACUAAAGGAUGGACUUGCGAUGCAUUCGCUAGUUGGUAAGGUAACGGCUUACCAAGGCGAUGAUGCAUAGCCGAGUUGAGAGACUGAUCGGCCACAUUGGGACUGAGACACGGCCCAGACUCAUACUGGAGGCAGCGCUAGGGUAACUACCACUAUGGACGAAAGUCUGAUGGAGCAACGCCGCGUGAGUGAAGGAGGUUUUCGGAUCGUAAAGCUCUGUUGUUGGUGAAGCGGUAAUCAACCAAAAAGUCACGGCUAACUACGUGCCAGCAGCCGCGGUAAUAC
This 408-nucleotide ribosomal RNA is filed under the name uncultured bacterium. RNAcentral describes it as "partial 16S ribosomal RNA". It matches the Rfam family "Bacterial small subunit ribosomal RNA", at positions 28 to 526 of the family's 1533-position model. The record is from RNAcentral.